GUCAACACCAGAUCAACAUGUGAAGUAGGCAAAUAGAAAUCAUAAACCAUGCACCCUAUCACAAAGUAUCCAGACUUUAUAAUUGAUUUGAUGGCCAUAUUGCAGGUCAUCCAAGAAAGGGACAUCUAGCUAGCUAGAAAUAAACUCGACAAUGUUUCACCAUAAAUAUUCAUUAGAGAGGAAAAAGGAAAAUGAUGGAGAUGUAAAACAAGUAAUGU
Molecule: long non-coding RNA, 218 nt
Filed under: Elaeis guineensis (African oil palm)
Lineage: Eukaryota; Viridiplantae; Streptophyta; Magnoliopsida; Arecales; Arecaceae
Description: long non-coding RNA (EGUI_LNC025251)
Source: RNAcentral